This 253-nucleotide ribosomal RNA is filed under the name uncultured bacterium. RNAcentral describes it as "partial 16S ribosomal RNA". It matches the Rfam family "Bacterial small subunit ribosomal RNA", at positions 524 to 776 of the family's 1533-position model. The record is from RNAcentral.
UACGGAGGGGGCUAGCGUUGUUCGGAAUUACUGGGCGUAAAGCGCACGUAGGCGGCUUUGCAAGUCAGAGGUGAAAGCCCGGGGCUCAACCCCGGAAUUGCCUUUGAGACUGCAUCGCUAGAAUUGUGGAGAGGUAAGUGGAAUUCCGAGUGUAGAGGCGAAAUUCGUAGAUAUUCGGAUGAACACCAGUGGCGAAGGCGACUUACUGGACACAUAUUGACGCUGAGGUGCGAAAGCGUGGGGAGCAAACAGG